UACGUAGGGUGCAAGCGUUAAUCGGAAUUACUGGGCGUAAAGCGUGCGCAGGCGGUUAUGUAAGACAGGUGUGAAAUCCCCGGGCUUAACCUGGGAACUGCAUUUGUGACUGCAUAGCUAGAGUACGGUAGAGGGGGAUGGAAUUCCGCGUGUAGCAGUGAAAUGCGUAGAUAUGCGGAGGAACACCGAUGGCGAAGGCAAUCCCCUGGACCUGUACUGACGCUGAGGAGCGAAAGCAUGGGGAGCGAACAGG
RNAcentral lists this ribosomal RNA (253 nucleotides) under uncultured bacterium. RNAcentral describes it as "partial 16S ribosomal RNA". It matches the Rfam family "Bacterial small subunit ribosomal RNA", at positions 524 to 776 of the family's 1533-position model. The record is from RNAcentral.